CCUACGGGCGGCAGCAGUGAGGAAUAUUGGUCAAUGGCCGUAAGGCUGAACCAGCCAAGUAGCGUGAGGGAAGACUGCCCUAUGGGUUGUAAACCUCUUUUAUGCGGGGAUAAAGGUGUCUACGUGUGGAUGUUUGCAGGUACCGCAUGAAUAAGGACUGGCUAAUUCCGUGCCAGGAGCCGCGGUAAUACGGAAGGUCCGGGCUGUAACCGGAUUUAUUGGGUUUAAAGGGAUCGUAGGCCGGUCUUGAAGCUUGCCGUGAAAUUUUGUGGCGCAAACGUGGUAGUGCGGCGCGAACUGGAGAUCUUGAGGGCGCGGAAGGCAGGCGGAAGUCGUGGUGUAGCGGUGAAAUGCUUAGAUAUCACGAAGAACCCCGAUUGCGAAGGCAGCAUGCCGCAGCGUUACUGACGCUGAAGCUCGAAAGCGCGGGUAUCGAACAGGAUUAGAUACCCCUGUAGUC
Molecule: ribosomal RNA, 460 nt
Filed under: uncultured bacterium
Lineage: Bacteria
Description: partial 16S ribosomal RNA
Rfam family: Bacterial small subunit ribosomal RNA
Source: RNAcentral